Molecule: ribosomal RNA, 534 nt
Filed under: Enterococcus lactis
Lineage: Bacteria; Bacillati; Bacillota; Bacilli; Lactobacillales; Enterococcaceae
Description: bacterial SSU rRNA
Rfam family: Bacterial small subunit ribosomal RNA
Source: RNAcentral
UCUAGAGAUAGAGCUUCCCCUUCGGGGGCAAAGUGACAGGUGGUGCAUGGUUGUCGUCAGCUCGUGUCGUGAGAUGUUGGGUUAAGUCCCGCAACGAGCGCAACCCUUAUUGUUAGUUGCCAUCAUUCAGUUGGGCACUCUAGCAAGACUGCCGGUGACAAACCGGAGGAAGGUGGGGAUGACGUCAAAUCAUCAUGCCCCUUAUGACCUGGGCUACACACGUGCUACAAUGGGAAGUACAACGAGUCGCGAAGUCGCGAGGCUAAGCUAAUCUCUUAAAGCUUCUCUCAGUUCGGAUUGCAGGCUGCAACUCGCCUGCAUGAAGCCGGAAUCGCUAGUAAUCGCGGAUCAGCACGCCGCGGUGAAUACGUUCCCGGGCCUUGUACACACCGCCCGUCACACCACGAGAGUUUGUAACACCCGAAGUCGGUGAGGUAACCUUUUUGGAGCCAGCCGCCUAAGGUGGGAUAGAUGAUUGGGGUGAAGUCGUAACAAGGUAGCCGUAUCGGAAGGUGCGGCUGGAUCACCUCCUUU